This 1836-nucleotide ribosomal RNA is filed under the name Staphylococcus aureus. RNAcentral's name for it is "bacterial SSU rRNA". It matches the Rfam family "Bacterial small subunit ribosomal RNA". Lineage: Bacteria; Bacillati; Bacillota; Bacilli; Caryophanales; Staphylococcaceae. The record is from RNAcentral.
AGAGUUUGAUCCUGGCUCAGGAUGAACGCUGGCGGCGUGCCUAAUACAUGCAAGUCGAGCGAACGGACGAGAAGCUUGCUUCUCUGAUGUUAGCGGCGGACGGGUGAGUAACACGUGGAUAACCUACCUAUAAGACUGGGAUAACUUCGGGAAACCGGAGCUAAUACCGGAUAAUAUUUUGAACCGCAUGGUUCAAAAGUGAAAGACGGUCUUGCUGUCACUUAUAGAUGGAUCCGCGCUGCAUUAGCUAGUUGGUAAGGUAACGGCUUACCAAGGCAACGAUGCAUAGCCGACCUGAGAGGGUGAUCGGCCACACUGGAACUGAGACACGGUCCAGACUCCUACGGGAGGCAGCAGUAGGGAAUCUUCCGCAAUGGGCGAAAGCCUGACGGAGCAACGCCGCGUGAGUGAUGAAGGUCUUCGGAUCGUAAAACUCUGUUAUUAGGGAAGAACAUAUGUGUAAGUAACUGUGCACAUCUUGACGGUACCUAAUCAGAAAGCCACGGCUAACUACGUGCCAGCAGCCGCGGUAAUACGUAGGUGGCAAGCGUUAUCCGGAAUUAUUGGGCGUAAAGCGCGCGUAGGCGGUUUUUUAAGUCUGAUGUGAAAGCCCACGGCUCAACCGUGGAGGGUCAUUGGAAACUGGAAAACUUGAGUGCAGAAGAGGAAAGUGGAAUUCCAUGUGUAGCGGUGAAAUGCGCAGAGAUAUGGAGGAACACCAGUGGCGAAGGCGACUUUCUGGUCUGUAACUGACGCUGAUGUGCGAAAGCGUGGGGAUCAAACAGGAUUAGAUACCCUGGUAGUCCACGCCGUAAACGAUGAGUGCUAAGUGUUAGGGGGUUUCCGCCCCUUAGUGCUGCAGCUAACGCAUUAAGCACUCCGCCUGGGGAGUACGACCGCAAGGUUGAAACUCAAAGGAAUUGACGGGGACCCGCACAAGCGGUGGAGCAUGUGGUUUAAUUCGAAGCAACGCGAAGAACCUUACCAAAUCUUGACAUCCUUUGACAACUCUAGAGAUAGAGCCUUCCCCUUCGGGGGACAAAGUGACAGGUGGUGCAUGGUUGUCGUCAGCUCGUGUCGUGAGAUGUUGGGUUAAGUCCCGCAACGAGCGCAACCCUUAAGCUUAGUUGCCAUCAUUAAGUUGGGCACUCUAAGUUGACUGCCGGUGACAAACCGGAGGAAGGUGGGGAUGACGUCAAAUCAUCAUGCCCCUUAUGAUUUGGGCUACACACGUGCUACAAUGGACAAUACAAAGGGCAGCGAAACCGUGAGGUCAAGCAAAUCCCAUAAAGUUUUUCUCAGUUCGGAUUGUAGUUUGCAACUCGACUACAUGAAGCUGGAAUCGCUAGUAAUCGUAGAUCAGCAUGCUACGGUGAAUACGUUCCCGGGUCUUGUACACACCGCCCGUCACACCACGAGAGUUNNNNNNNNNNNNNNNNNNGCACUCUAAGUUGACUGCCGGUGACAAACCGGAGGAAGGUGGGGAUGACGUCAAAUCAUCAUGCCCCUUAUGAUUUGGGCUACACACGUGCUACAAUGGACAAUACAAAGGGCAGCGAAACCGCGAGGUCAAGCAAAUCCCAUAAAGUUGUUCUCAGUUCGGAUUGUAGUCUGCAACUCGACUACAUGAAGCUGGAAUCGCUAGUAAUCGUAGAUCAGCAUGCUACGGUGAAUACGUUCCCGGGUCUUGUACACACCGCCCGUCACACCACGAGAGUUUGUAACACCCGAAGCCGGUGGAGUAACCUUUUAGGAGCUAGCCGUCGAAGGUGGGACAAAUGAUUGGGGUGAAGUCGUAACAAGGUAGCCGUAUCGGAAGGUGCGGCUGGAUCACCU